This 506-nucleotide ribosomal RNA is filed under the name Pichia kudriavzevii. RNAcentral describes it as "partial 26S ribosomal RNA". Lineage: Eukaryota; Fungi; Ascomycota; Pichiomycetes; Pichiales; Pichiaceae. The record is from RNAcentral.
CUCGGUCCCCGCACGCAGCAUCUGGCCCUGGCUAUAACACUCCGAAGAGCCACGUUCCAGAACCCCUUCUCCUGCAGCAAGAACCGAUGCUGGCCCAGGGAAAGCCCAGAGCGCCGCCCACGAGAGGCAGCGGUGCGCAAUCCCCAUGUCGGGCGCAAUACCCUUCCCUUUCAACAAUUUCACGUGCUGUUUCACUCUCUUUUCAAAGUGCUUUUCAUCUUUCCUUCACAGUACUUGUUCGCUAUCGGUCUCUCGCCAGUAUUUAGCCUUAGAUGGAAUUUACCACCCGCUUGGAGCUGCAUUCCCAAACACUCGACUCGUCAGAAGGGCCUCACUGCUUCCGCCGGCAUCCCACGGGGCUCUCACCCUCCUGGGCGCCCUGUUCCAAGGGACUUGGACACCGCCUUCCACACAGACUCCAACCUGCAAUCUACAACUCGUGCCGCAAAGCACGAUUUCAAAUCUGAGCUCUUGCCGCUUCACUCGCCGCUACUGAGGCAAUCCUG